Molecule: ribosomal RNA, 467 nt
Filed under: uncultured bacterium
Lineage: Bacteria
Description: partial 16S ribosomal RNA
Rfam family: Bacterial small subunit ribosomal RNA
Source: RNAcentral
GACGAACGCUGGCGGCGUGCUUAACACAUGCAAGUCGAACGGAAAGGCCUCUUUCGGGGGGUACUCGAGUGGCGAACGGGUGAGUAACACGUGAGUAACCUGCCCUUGACUUUGGGAUAACUUCAGGAAACUGGGGCUAAUACCGGAUAGGAGCUCCUGCUGCAUGGUGGGGGUUGGAAAGUUUCGGCGGUUGGGGAUGGACUCGCGGCUUAUCCGCUUGUUGGUGGGGUAGUGGCUUACCAAGGCUUUGACGGGUAGCCGGCCUGAGAGGGUGACCGGCCACAUUGGGACUGAGAUACGGCCCAGACUCCUACGGGAGGCAGCAGUGGGGAAUAUUGCACAAUGGGUGGAAGCCUGAUGCAGCAACGCCGUGUGCGGGACGACGGCCUUCGGGUUGUAAACCGCUUUCGCUCAUGACGAAGCUUUGUGUGACGGUAGUGGGUAAAGAAGCACCGGCUAACUACGUG